AGAGUUUGAUCAUGGCUCAGGACGAACGCUGGCGGCGUGCUUAACACAUGCAAGUCGAACGGUGAACCACUUCGGUGGGGAUUAGUGGCGAACGGGUGAGUAACACGUGGGCAAUCUGCCCUGCACUCUGGGACAAGCCCUGGAAACGGGGUCUAAUACCGGAUACUGACCCCCGCAGGCAUCUGCGAGGUUCGAAAGCUCCGGCGGUGCAGGAUGAGCCCGCGGCCUAUCAGCUUGUUGGUGAGGUAAUGGCUCACCAAGGCGACGACGGGUAGCCGGCCUGAGAGGGCGACCGGCCACACUGGGACUGAGACACGGCCCAGACUCCUACGGGAGGCAGCAGUGGGGAAUAUUGCACAAUGGGCGAAAGCCUGAUGCAGCGACGCCGCGUGAGGGAUGACGGCCUUCGGGUUGUAAACCUCUUUCAGCAGGGAAGAAGCGAAAGUGACGGUACCUGCAGAAGAAGCGCCGGCUAACUACGUGCCAGCAGCCGCGGUAAUACGUAGGGCGCAAGCGUUGUCCGGAAUUAUUGGGCGUAAAGAGCUCGUAGGCGGCUUGUCGCGUCGGUUGUGAAAGCCCGGGGCUUAACCCCGGGUCUGCAGUCGAUACGGGCAGGCUAGAGUUCGGUAGGGGAGAUCGGAAUUCCUGGUGUAGCGGUGAAAUGCGCAGAUAUCAGGAGGAACACCGGUGGCGAAGGCGGAUCUCUGGGCCGAUACUGACGCUGAGGAGCGAAAGCGUGGGGAGCGAACAGGAUUAGAUACCCUGGUAGUCCACGCCGUAAACGGUGGGCACUAGGUGUGGGCAACAUUCCACGUUGUCCGUGCCGCAGCUAACGCAUUAAGUGCCCCGCCUGGGGAGUACGGCCGCAAGGCUAAAACUCAAAUGAAUUGACGG
Molecule: ribosomal RNA, 894 nt
Filed under: uncultured bacterium
Lineage: Bacteria
Description: bacterial SSU rRNA
Rfam family: Bacterial small subunit ribosomal RNA
Source: RNAcentral